Molecule: long non-coding RNA, 2348 nt
Organism: Lactuca sativa (garden lettuce)
Lineage: Eukaryota; Viridiplantae; Streptophyta; Magnoliopsida; Asterales; Asteraceae
Source: RefSeq, a predicted model, not a curated record
CCUUCUCCAUACCAAACCCUAAACCUAGUUGCUAUGUCUCAGCCGCCACCACCUGGUUUCUUUCGUCCUUCGAUCAUCCAUGGCCGCUAACGACUGCCGCCCAGCCAACGUCACCGCCAUCAAUGGGAACCGUCAACCAUCCAGCUCCUUCAUUGCUCCCGUCGCCGGCAAGGAUCACGAGUAGUCACCUCCAUGUUCUGCCAACAAGCUGUGAACCGCAAGGACCGACGACCCACUGCUCCCAUGGACCGGUCGGACCGCAACGUCCUCCUUUGUCUUCUUCUUCUGCCGCUGCUCGGUUGCUGUAGCUGCCAUUCCGGGUGGCUGUUGCGGCUGCCAUUCUUCGCCAAAUGUCUUGCACCACCACGGGUGUGGAUGAGAUCGUGGUACACUUCGGUGCUGAGCUAACAUCGAGCAUGAUCGUGUGGACGUGUGUUACUUGGUUGAGACUCAAGAAAACUCGCGGUGGUGGCUGUCAAUGAAACCACUGCUUGCCGCCACCUCUACUUCCUACUGCCGUGUCAUGACAGCACCAGCCACCGUGGAGCUGGCUGUGAGUUUGUGUGAUCCCACUUUUAAUGUGUGUUAUUUCAUGUAUGUAGUGUUGGUUUGGCCGGAAUUUGCGAGAACAGCCACCUGCACCGUGAGGUGGUGGCUGCCACCAUGUACCACCGUAGAUGGGUGUAUUUUAGUGAGUGUGUGUACAUUUGGUAUUUUCAUUGUAACAUUAUAACCGGAGUUGGAAUAAUGAAAAGAAACCCUAACCACCACCGUGAGGCACCAACCGUCAUGUUGGGUGGUGGUGUGCUUUUGCUUGCGAGUAGCUGAUUUUUGGAUGCUUGCACAAAAUGGACUAGAAACCCUAACCACCACCGUGAGCCGCCGUUGACCACCAUUACCCGAGGUGGUAGUAGGUGGUGCCCAACUAGUGAAAUCCUAAUAGGCCUACUGAACUCUAAUGGAUAUAAGGACUUAAUUUUAGGCCUAUUGGGUUAUGAUGGGUUGGAAACCCUAAUUUUGGAAUUAUGGGCUUGGACUUAUCAGAACCCACAUUUGGGCCAUUGGAAUGAAAUUGUGUAUUAAGCCCAAUCACACCAUAUGAUUUAUUUUAUUAGAGUGAUGGACUUAAUGGAUUAAGUUCUUAAUGGGUUCUCAUUUAACCCUAAUUGUCAUUUUAUGUGAAACCUUAAUUUCAUUUGGGCUUUAUGUUGGGCCUUUUUAUUGGGCUUUGGUGAUUGAGCCAAUAUUAGGCCAUCCAAGAACAAUAAAAUGGACUAGAAUAAUUUAAUGGGCUUUAAGGUAAGGUCCAUGUAAGGGGUUUGGGCCCAAUUUUCCAUAGAUGGGCCAUAGUUUGGGCCUUUAUGAUUAUGAGAUAUUAGACCAUUAGAAAUGCAAAAUGCUUGGACUGUACUAAAUGGUUGGGCCUGUGAUUAAGACCAUGUAAAGGUUUGAGCCCAAUUUGAAAAAUUAGGCCAUAUGUUGGGCUUUGAUUCCUAGUUUGACUUUUGGGCCUUUGGAUUGGGCCUUGGGCUUGAAUCAAGCCAAGAUGGGGGUAAUGUAGCCUGUUACUCCAAGAACUUAUGGUUAUGUGUCGGGACCCAAUCAUCAAUUGGGUGUUAUUUUGAUAUUGACAGUUCGGGAAGUUGUCAUCCAGCAGCCAAGGUUUCAUUUGCGGGACUUCAGCAGUGUGAGGUGAGUUACCUUCCAGUAGAAGUGGGUCUAAGGCUACAAUGUCGACUCACUAGUAGAAGUUGUUUAUUAGAUGAUUGUCUUUGUGAUAAUUAUCUGGUAUGCCAUUAUCGGUUAUGUUUGUGUGCUAGGAUGCUCUGUGAUACAUGUUAUUAGUAGUAGGGGUGAAAUAGUCCCCGAUUACCGGUUGAAAGAUGCUGAAGGGGAGGUCAGCUCCCAGAUACCGAUUUGAAGAUACCGAAGGGGUAGGUCCGGCACCCAGAUUUGCCUGACAUUAUGUUUAUGUAUGUUAUGCUAUGUUAUUAUGUGGUAGUGGUAGGGGUGAAAUAGUCCCCGUUAUCCGGUUGAAACAAACUGAAGGGGAGACCAACACCCAGAUAUGCUAGGCAGUUAUCCGGUUGGAAUAGACCGAAGGGGAGGCCGACACCCAGAUAUGCUUGGCUAUGUACUUCGUUUUCAAAGGAAAGGAGCCGGCUCGAUUGCAGCGCAUCACACUAUGUUUUUCCGCACAUGAGAUCUUGGGGAUUACACUCUGAUAUUAUUUUAUGAUAACAUGUUUGACUAUUGAAACUUUGGUUUUGACAUGAGAUGUUAUUAUGGAUGUUUUUAUACUUAUGGUUUUAUAAUAACUUAUUUAAAAAUGAAAAUUUUGGCCUGUA